CAAAGAUGUCAAGUUUCACCCUUUUGCCAAUCCAUACAGAAGUUACGGUUAGACACUGAAAUUAUGUAUUUCUUCAUGAAGCAUUGCAUGUUUGUUUGUGCAUGUGGCCAAUCACUAGCCGAGGGAGAAAC
Molecule: long non-coding RNA, 131 nt
Organism: Alosa sapidissima (American shad)
Lineage: Eukaryota; Metazoa; Chordata; Actinopteri; Clupeiformes; Clupeidae
Exons: 3
Source: RefSeq, a predicted model, not a curated record